GCCGGGACCGGGACCGGGACCGGGACCGUGCGGAGGGCACCGCGGGCACACGCGGAGGGUGCAGUGUCCUGGAGGGCGGCCAGGAGGCUAGGUUAGCAGGAUGUCCACAGAAGAGAGGAAAACAAAUGUGUCAGCACAAGAAAACACAAGCCAGUGCUCCAAGUUUGAUUCCAUUCCCCAUCACAACUCAGUUGCAAUGAAAUGCCAAAUAUUAAAACACAUGGAGGACCUAAAUUAAAAAGCAGAAGUCUCAGCAGCUACCCAGCAAUCAAGAAAGAGCAGUCAUGAAUGAGCACUGUCUAUCUCACUCCAAGGACAAAAUAAGUGAAUCUGCAUCUCUGAGUCACUGAACGCCUCCCCGUGCUGAACCACCACUGUGACUUCUUACCUCCUUCUCUGUAAUUCCAUUUCUGAUGCUGGUCCAGAAAGUCCUCCUGAGAUUUACUGCAGGGCAAAAGGAUGAAGAGGAAGAAAAGAGGAAGAGUCACCAUGAUGGCUGUUGUAGAAUCUUGACCUCCCCCUGUCACUGUGGAGACAAAAAGUCUUGCUAAGUGCUUUGUUUCUUUUUUCUUCUCUUUCUACACUUCCCAUCUGUCACCACAACACCAAAUUUCUCUUUGGUGAUGUUUUUAUUUAAAAUGUUAUUCAAGUUGCUCAGAAUAGGUUUUACAGAAGCACAAGGACUUUUCUUUUUCACAAGUAUGAAUUUCACUUCCAUUUCAAGGAACAGAGUGGUACUAAGAUGCUUCAUCAACCAGCAGCAGCUGGGGAAAUAGUUUUUCUUCCUGUGUAGCCUUGUUGGGAGAGCACCUUAUAGCUACAAUUGUUCUAGCAGUGUCAGGAGGAAGUACUACGAAGUGUGAAAAUCACUGCAUCCCUACUUUGUAUUUGGGACAAACAAGGUAAAAAACUAGUAAACAAUUUAUCAAGUGUUUCAUAGGGGCCAGAAUAAUAAAAAAUUGUUAUUUUUUAUCUGAUCUACUAAGCAGUGGCAAUAUCUUAGAUGCUGCCCAGUGAUGGAGCCUCAAAGGUAACCCCAACCCCUGUACUGUUUCCACCUUGCCCUGAUGUCACCAGGUCAGUUCCUCCUGAGCAAAGCUGCAGAGUUGACAGGACAUGUGUAUGAACUGAUGUAUGAACACUCACUUAACUCCUUGUUUUCUUUCAAGUUUGCCAUCAUUUCCAAGCUAAGGAAGUCAACCCUAACCUAGAUGCCCUCCUGGGCAAGUACCAUCUCUAAAUGUAAGAGGAUAGAUCAGUCUCUCCACAGAUUACUCAUGUUGAUUUGUUAUUCCAUCCUAAUAAAUUAGUCCCUCGGUGUUGAAUCAGUAUUUUAAUUGGGAAAAAAAAAAAAGUUCGUGAACAGCUGUUCUGAUAGAAAUUGGUGGAAAAUAUCCAUUAUGCACAUAUUGCACAUGGCAAGCAGAAAAAAUGCAUUGCCAAGUUCAUGGGGUUUAGUGAUGAUUUCGGUCAUCUUUAGUCACAGUGAUGGAGGGGCUCAUGUGAGAAGCAGCCACAUCCAGAAAAUCUGAAUUAUUCUCCUAUUCAUGUACAUGCAUCAAAAGCCUAAGAUCUCACUGCAAAAUAUGAGGACAUUAAAUUUCUUUUUUAAUAUAAUACAACCUUCAUCUCCUGACCAUCUGUGAAGAAUUCAGUUACCUCAAGACCUACCAGAAGCUGUAGCAGAUAAAGCAGUAAAUAAAUAAUUCCGUUCACUUUGUGCCUUUCUAACAUUUGAUCACUAGUGCAUUUUAAUUGCAACUGCAUUUAUUUUUCUGCUAUUUAAAGUAUCAGCAUGAAUAUAACCACACUAAUGGAAAAUGUGAUGAUACUUUAAAAACAUUACUUUCCA
Molecule: long non-coding RNA, 1852 nt
Organism: Cinclus cinclus
Lineage: Eukaryota; Metazoa; Chordata; Aves; Passeriformes; Cinclidae
Exons: 3
Source: RefSeq, a predicted model, not a curated record